Molecule: ribosomal RNA, 3660 nt
Filed under: Triticum aestivum (bread wheat)
Lineage: Eukaryota; Viridiplantae; Streptophyta; Magnoliopsida; Poales; Poaceae
Description: partial small subunit ribosomal RNA
Source: RNAcentral
AUGGAGCCCGACGACGAGGCGCUCAAGGAGCUGGCCGCCGCCUCGUCGCGGCCGCCGCAGCGGAGGGGCAUCUCCUACAGCCAGCCGCUGUCGCGCGGGGACACCGCGUCCGCGCGCCGCGCCGCGCUCCGCAACCUCAGCCUCGACGACGACCACGUCCUCCCGGCCUCCCACUCCCUCUCCUACGCGCACCACGACUCCUCCGCCGGCGUCCCCGCCGGCUACCACCCGCCGCUCCCGCCGCAGCAGCAGCACCACCACCACCCCAGCGCCUCCUACUCCUCCGGCCCCAGCUCCCGCCGCUCCGUCGGCGGCGCCAGCGACGGCUCCAUGACGCUCGAGCGCGCCAUGUCCGAGUACGGCGGCGGCGCCGGCACCCUCCCGGAGUUUGUCGGCGCGGGCGGCGGCAAGGGCAUCUUCCGCGUGCCGCUCCGCGCGGCAAUGCACCCGCACCGCCCUCCCCCGCUCGAGGUGCGGCCCCACCCGCUCCGGGAGACGCAGGCCGGCUCCUUCCUCCGCACGCUCGCCUCCGAUCCGCAGCGCCGCCAACUGUGGGCCGGGGCCGAAUCCGGGAUCAGGGUGUGGGCGCUCGACGAGGUGUUCGCCGGCUGGGGCGCUGGCGCGCGCCGGGGCGACGAGGAGAGCGCGCCCUUCCGCGAGGGCGUACCCGCGCCGCCCGCGCUCUGCGUCGCCAUGGACAGGGCCAACGGGCUGCUGUGGACGGGGCACAAGGACGGGAGGAUCCGCUCGUGGCGCAUGGACCUCGAGACGGCCGCCACGGCGCCCGCGCCUCCGCCUCCUGGUUCAGGCGGCGAAGGGAGCGUUGGGGGAAGCGCACACGGUGGACCCAACAGCGCCCCCGUGUUCAGGGAAGCCCUCACAUGGCAGGCCUACGGCCGGACGCCCGUGCUCUCCAUGGCCAUCACCUCAUAUGGUGAGCAUGCCAUCUAUCUAUCAUCUCCUCAUAUUGUGACAAUGCAUUUCUGUUGUAUGUGCUUGCCAAAUGUGAAGAAUCCCUCUCGCUGUUUGAAUCUGGCAGGUGAGAUAUGGUCGGGCUCAGAGGCUGGAGUCAUAAAGGCAUGGCCAUACGAUGCCAUUGCCAAGUCCCUCUCGCUGUCACCGGAAGAGAGGCACAUGGCUGCAUUGUUGGUGGAGAGGGCGUACAUUGACCUCAGGAACCAUUGCACAGUUGGCAACGUAUGCUCUCUCCCUGCAUCCGAUGUUAAGUACAUGCUCGCCGAUCAUUCUCGGGCCAAGGUUUGGACCCUGACAAGCAUGACAUUUGCUCUCUGGGAUGCUCGUACAAGGGAGCUGCUGAAAGUAUUUGGAAUGGAUGGCCAAGUUGAGUCGGCUCGGCUAGAUGCACCGGUCAUGCCAGAGCAACCCAUGGAGGAAGUAGAGGUCAAAGUAAAGCCAUCGAAGAAGGACAAGUCGGGAGGCUCUUUGAACUUCUUCCAGAAAUCUAGGAAUGCCUUAAUGGGAGCAGCCGAUGCGGUGCGCAGGGUUGCAACAAAGGGGACAUUUGUCGAAGAUAACCGGAGAACAGGAGCAGUGGCUCAAGCAGAUGAUGGGGCAAUUUGGUCUGGAUGCACAAAUGGUUGCAUUAUCCAGUGGGAUGGAAAUGGGAACCGAAUGCAGGAGUUCCAGCAUCAUACUUCUUCUGUGCAGUGCAUAAAGGCACUCGGAGAUAGGGUGUGGGUCGGCUACGCCAGUGGUACUGUUCAAGUCAUGGAUGUCGAUGGUAACCUUCUCGCAGGAUGGACUGGACAUAGCUGCCCGGUCAUAAGGAUGGCGAUUGGUGGUUCUUACAUCUACACUCUGGCACAUCAUGGCGGUAUCCGGGGAUGGCCACUGACUUCCCCUGGACCUCUUGAUGAUGUUUUGCGAACUGAAUUGGCUAACAAAGAAUUGUCAUACACUAGAAUGGAAAAGAUAAACAUAAUGGUUGGAAGUUGGAAUGUAGCGCAGGGAAAAGCAACUGCAGAGUCACUUAAAGCAUGGUUGGGUAGCGUAGCAUCUGAUGUUGGGUUAGUUGUUGUUGGAUUACAAGAGGUUGAGAUGGGUGCAGGUUUUCUUGCAAUUUCUGCAGCAAAAGAAACUGUAGGACUUGAGGGAAGUGCCAAUGGUCAAUGGUGGAUAGACAAUAUAGGCAAAGCACUUGAUGAGGGGACAUCAUUCCACCGAGUUGGUUCUAGGCAGUUGGCUGCAUUGCUUAUUGCUGCAUGGGCAAGAAAAAGUCUUAAGCCAUAUGUCGGUGAUGUUGAGGCUGCAGCAGUUCCAUGUGGUCUUGGACGUGCCAUCGGCAAUAAGGGUGGUGUAGGAUUAAGAAUAAGAGUCUACGAUCGUAAAAUGUGUUUUGUGAGCAAUCAUUUUGCUGCACAUCUGGAAGCUGUUGCCAGGCGCAAUGCUGACUUCGAUCACAUUUAUCGUACAAUGGCUUUCAACAAACCUCAUGGAUCCACAUCUUCUGCUACAUCUGUCCAAUUGCACAAAACAGUGAAUGUUAAUGGAAAUCCAGUUGAUGAGGUCAGGCCUGACUUGGCUGAUGCUGAUAUGGUUGUCUUUCUUGGUGAUUUCAACUACCGGCUUUAUGGUAUCACAUAUGAUGAAGCAAGGGACAUGGUUUCCCAAAGAAGCUUUGAUUGGCUAAGAGAGAAGGAUCAGCUUCGAGCAGAAAUGAAAGCUGGAAAAGUAUUUCAAGGAAUGCGUGAAGGUCUGAUCAAAUUCCCACCGACUUACAAAUUCCAAAAGCACGCGCCAGGUCUUGGAGGGUAUGAUUCGGGUGAGAAGAAGCGGAUACCUGCUUGGUGUGAUAGGGUGCUAUAUCGCGACAGUCGUGCUGUAUCAGUAGCCGAAUGCUCGCUAGAGUGCCCUGUAGUUGCUGCAAUUACAUCGUAUGUAGCUGUCAUGGAGGUCACAGAGAGUGAUCAUAAACCUGUGAGGUGCACAUUUAGCGUUGAUAUUGCACGAGUAGAUGAGUUAACAAGAAGACAAGAGUAUGGAGAAAUAAUCGAAUCGAACGAGGAAGUGCGGUCUAUGCUUAAGGAGUCUUGUUUUGUUCCUGACAGCACAGUUAGCACAGAGGAAAUUAUAUUGGAAAAUCAAGAGAAUAUUGUUUUCCAAAUUACCAAUAAUUGUGAAACAAGCAAAGCAGCUUUUGAAAUCCUAUGUGAAGGCCAGUCGACCAAAAAGGACGAUGGGACUAAACCAGAGAUUAUUCCAAGGGCAUCAUUUGGCUUUCCACUUUGGCUUGAGGUCCUACCAGCGAACGGUCUUAUUAAACCAGGAGAAACCGUGGAUAUUACAAUACACCAUGAGGACUUCUACACACAAGAAGAAUUUGUGGACGGGAUACCACAAAACUGGUGGUGCGAAGACACCAGGGACAAGGAAGCUGUUAUUGUGGUAAACAUAACUGGUAGCACCUCAACUGAAACCAAGACGCACACGAUCAAUGUCCGACAUCGCUGCCCAGCAACAUCAGCGCCCCCACCUAUCAACCCACCGGUGACACUAACUCCACCAAGCAAUAACAUGCCCAGUGAAGCGCCGUCUAAGCGUUCUUCCAAGAAGAAGGAGGCGAGUCGUCAACAACAACAGGACUACGCGCAGUUCGCAAGCACGGAGGUGCAUGAUUUGUACCGCAUGCGUUGUCCCUGA